GCUUCCCUCAGCUUCCUGCAAAUCCACUGACAAUUUUGUAAAUUUGUUUAAGGAUUAAAUGAAUAAGCUGCUCUUCCCUUGGCUCCCAUAGCUGUACAGAUUGAAGCUCCUGUGCCUUCUGAGGAGGAGCCACGUCAUGGCUCCUGUCCCUCUGGAGGCUGCUCUACCACAGGAAGACAAGCGCUGCUCCUAUCUUCACCGACUUCUCUCCCCAAAGAAACAGACAACCUGGUGGGAAAACAGCAUCACCCCAACUUGGAGCAGCUGGGAGGGACCUGGACCACCAUUCUGCCCCAGGCCCCUCUGCCAUUCUGCAGCCACCCGAGAGGGAGAUCUGACCGCUCCCACACGUACAGUUGCCGACGGUGAGCUCCAGCUCGAAGAGCCAGGAAGUCAAGGAGACCAGACCCUGAGCCCAGCGGCCGCCUGCAAACCUGUGGGCUUCCCCACACCCCAUGUAAGCAAGCUGUCUGGCCCUGGAGCUGGGGACUUGGAGAGGCCCCCACCCUCUUUCCAGUCUUCUCUCAUUGCAGUCUGAGCUAGUUGGACCUCUGAGCUUCACAAAGCACUUUGAAAUUCAUAAAAUGGAAAUUUAUUGAACAAGCCUUUGGAGAAGGGAAGUAAUGAAAACCGCUACAUAAAUUACGAGGCCACUGGUAUUACACAGCUGGAGCUAAUGCUGUUAGUCCCAGAAGGGGACCUAGCUCCACCCUCCUCUGCUGGCCUUCUGGAGGUCUGCUCCUGGGAGCCUGAGAGGAGCCCUAGGGAGAGAGAGAGACCUACCCUGGAGUUUAUCUGGGAGGGCCUGGGAGGCCAUAUGCCCUCUGCCCGGUCUCCAUUUCUGCAUCACUGCAGUGGAGGUAACAGCAACAUCUGU
This 877-nucleotide long non-coding RNA is filed under the name Heterocephalus glaber (naked mole-rat). RNAcentral's name for it is "lncRNA (ENSHGLG00000050467.1)". The record is from RNAcentral. Lineage: Eukaryota; Metazoa; Chordata; Mammalia; Rodentia; Bathyergidae.